GCUAUUGGGGUCCGAUUUAGCCAUGCUAGUUGCACGAGUUUAGACUCGUGGCGAAAAGCUCAGUAACACGUGGUCAAACUACCCUACGAAGACCCAUAACCUCGGGAAACUGAGGCUAAUAGGUCAUAGGUGAGUUACGCUGGAAUGCCAACUCUCCCAAACGCUCAGGCGUCGUAGGAUGUGGCUGCGGCCGAUUAGGUAGACGGUGGGGUAACGGCCCACCGUGCCGAUAAUCGGUACGGGUUGUGAGAGCAAGAGCCCGGAGACGGAAUCUGAGACAAGAUUCCGGGCCCUACGGGGCGCAGCAGGCGCGAAACCUUUACACUGCACGCAAGUGCGAUAAGGGGACCCCAAGUGCGAGGGCAUAUAGUCCUCGCUUUUUCCGACCGUAAGGUGGUCGGCGAAUAAGGGCUGGGCAAGACCGGUGCCAGCCGCCGCGGUAAUACCGGCAGCCCAAGUGAUGACCGAUAUUAUUGGGCCUAAAGCGUCCGUAGCCGGCCAUGAAGGUUCAUCGGGAAAUCCGCCAGCUCAACUGGCGGG
Molecule: ribosomal RNA, 540 nt
Filed under: Haloferax elongans
Lineage: Archaea; Methanobacteriati; Methanobacteriota; Halobacteria; Halobacteriales; Haloferacaceae
Description: bacterial SSU rRNA
Rfam family: Archaeal small subunit ribosomal RNA
Source: RNAcentral